CACAGUGUUGAGCGCCGAGCGGUUGUAGCCAUGUGCUGAUACUUUGGGGUCUGAGUGCUAGUUAUUCAAAUAUACUUUUCGCCGCGAGAAGCUUAAUAUUUAGGUCAGUGGAACUCAUUUCUUAGAGUUUGCUGUUGACCUUGAAACGAUUCCCAGAUUUCCUGUGAGCGCGUAUCGAGGACUAAAAAGCUGAAACGUGAUCGGAGCCGAGCAGGAGUCCGUUUUUGUGGUCAUCGUUUGUUAGCGGUUGAGAUCUCAACGCGAGACAAGGGAUAUUCAGUAUCCUCGCCGUUUUUGUCUUUAUUUUCGGGGACACUUAUGGAAUAUGCGAGAGGAAAUCGACACUCACGUGUUCUGAUUUCACGGAUGUACUCAUCUUGAGAGUUUACAGCGAGCAGCCCGCGUAACCGGCAACUACAUCGAUUGACACGCGACGGACGCGAGUGGCCAAGUGUUCUCUUGUGACUGUGAGGAAGAUGAAAUAUUUUCUCCAGGAUAUUCUCUGUGUCUACUCCACCGUCACUUUGUGCCUUCUCUACCAGAUCUCAGCAAUCGCUCACGGAUACUCUCCGAGGGACAACAAGGAGGAUCGCGGAAUAAUGGCACCUCGCAUGGACUACGAAGAAUGGACUCCGAUCGGCCGCGGCGACCCCUUGAAAAACGACCCCACGUACGAUUACGUGCCCCCCGUCUUGGACAAAGUCCACUACUGGAUCAAUCCAGCCUCGCGCACCUCUGAAUCCCCCCUCGCCUCUGAGUCGCAAAUCGUGGCCUUGGGCGCCCCCGCAACUAAGAAACCCACCCCCACGAUGAAACCCCUCAAACCAUCCGAAAUCAAACGCUACCACACGGAGAGCAAACCCCACUACCAAGGCUACGGACCUUACAUCUCCGGCUCGAAACAUCCGAAUAGGGGCCGUCCCCAGUACAUUCCUUUGGCCACUUACUCCACCUACAAGUACCCCCGCCCACCUCUAACCAUGCUUGUCCCGCCCCCGCCCUCCCAACCGGUCACCUACCCGCCCACCACCGAAGAGGAGCUCAAUCAGAUAACGACGGAUUUCCAAGACAAAAGCACCGAUAAACCGCAACAGUCCACCACAAUCAACGGGCCGACAUCGUGGAAGACGUCAUACUCGCCCGAAUCAACGCAAGCGCACACAAUCGCGUUCCUCGACACCAGCACGAUUAACAACGACCCAACGAAGAACAAGCCGGUUUCCACUUCGAUUGAUGUGGAUACAACGCUGGGUCAAACCACAUCCUCCUUCAGCCCGGCGGCAACCCAAACCUGGUCCUCGACGAGGCAAACGACAGUCGAACAGACGUUCGUCACCAACCCGUUGACGACCGAGGAACAAACCUCCAGACAACCCUCUUCCGUGUCCACAACCGAACUGUCCUCGAGUCAAACCACGAGUAGGCAACCUUCGUCUCAGUCUUCGGGACACACCACAGUAUACAGACAGCCAUCCUCGGCGUCUACCACGCUUUUACCACCGGGCAGACAACCCUUAAGCAACCUCUGACGAUGUCCACUAUGGGUUACUCCACCGGUCAGACAUCCUCGAUGCCAGGUCCACAAACGACGAAGCUGUCUUCGUCGUCUUUGUUCGACCUCUUGCUCAAGCGAGACUCGCCCCCGCCAACUACAUCCCCCGCGACAUUCCCCCUGCCCCAGACGCAGGCCGCUUCCAUGCCGUUCCUACCCCCCUUCAGAACACAAGAAGCGCCGAAAGCACCCGCUUACCUCAUCAUCCAGGGCCACUCCAAGGUGAAGAAAUACGGCGCGACUAAGCUGGACAAGAUAUCCGGGAUCCCGCUCCAAGAUAGCAAUGAAAUCACGAGCCAGCAGGAUAGCGACGCGAACGACAUACUCAGGAGAAAGACGAGAGACGUAAGUUUCGAGGAUUAUUUGCCGAUAGACGGGAGUUACUUCAAGUCGACUUUUGAGGACUAUUACAGUGAUCUGGGAGAAGAGGCCUCAGGUCUAAAUGCCAUUCCAACUCGGUGACUCGAGUAGAGUUGAAAAUGUGUUGAAUGCUCGAAGAUACCUUACAUUAAAAUACAUCUAAAAGAAGGAAACAAAACUUAUAACAUACACUCUGCCUACCAUCUUUGUUUCAUUUGCUUAAAAUUUACGGUUUUUUUAAAUGUUUCUUUUCUCAAACUCAAAAGUCUAUUACUCCCAAAGAACUUAAUACUUAGGUUCCAUCGAAAUUUUGAAUGUGUUUUCUUGCAGAGCGGGAGGAGCGUCUCAGAUCCGCGAGUGCGGACAGCAAAGUGUCACCACUACAUUUUACUAUCUUUAGUUUUUGCAAAUAAUUAAAAAGAAAAAGAAUAUUAGGGAGCGUAUUGAAAGAAAAUAAUGUUGUAUUUUCUGACAGCGAUUAAAUUUAAUUGAAAGGAAAAAAUUGAAUCUCCCGGACACCUUUUUUCAAUAUUUGUACGUGAAAACAAGUCGAUAAAGAGCAACGCUGAAGUAUUGCAGUAGCGCGUCUGCGGAAAGAGAAACCGAAUCUACAUCGAAUUUCAAGAACGCACUAAGUAGAUUAUUCAAUGAAGGCACGUUAAUAUGAGUGCUGGUUGAAGAACCCUCUUUAUUUUAGCUUUGCUCAAGCAGCCAGCAGUUGCAUAUUUAUAACUUUGAAAUAGAUUCUAUGCACUUAUUAGAAAUGCCAUUUAGUAACUUAUUAGAAGUGUCAUUCGGUAGAAUUUCAAAUGAAUUGAUAUUUAGAGUCCAUCCGGUAUUAACCAAAUUUAAGGAAGAGUAGUGACAUUCAAAUUUAAUCACGUUGAGAAGCUUACACAUUUUUUGGUAGCUUUGCUGUCUAGACUGAAAUGCAAGAGUAGGUCGCUGGCCUCAAAGCAACAUACGUAUACAUUCGGAAACUUGCAUUCAAAAUUAGGUACGCCAGAUAUGGUUGGCACAGUUGUUUCUAUUUUUAAAAAAUAAUCCAUAGUUCUAACGCUUUAAAAUUAAAAGUACAAUUUUCCCCGCAAAUUUACCACUUAAAUUCCUUCAGAGAGAUGUAGGUAUCGAAUAUUAAAGCUACUGCUCAUAAGACUUAUUACUCCGACUCUGCCAUAGACUGAUUUUAUCAGAAUUGCUCAACAAUGAAAAGCUCUUACAAAAUAAUAUUUCAUGUAGUAAUGUAAAUAUUGUAAAGUUACCAAAAAUUAGAUAGUUCUAUAUUGUAAAGUGAGAAUUGAAAUCUUUAGCUGUAAGAGGCGCCUCUUUUCAUUUUAUUUGUAAUCAAUUUCAAUUGAAGAGAUCGGGUGAAAAGUUAUUACUUUCGGGAAUAAAUCCUACCAAUUACUUUCAGAAAUAACUAGUCUCUGCUAUGCAUCGUUUAUUGUGCUAGUGCACUAAAUGUGCUCCUCAAAAUAGUGCUUUUCAGUUUUAAAAAUCCAUCCUCACAAGCUCUUUACAAGCGUGGUUUCUAGUAGAAUUCAAUCAAUAUCCAAAGAUUUUUUGAUAUUUGUUUUUUCAUGUUUAUCAAAAUGACUGUAUAUAGUUUUUAUAUUUUGUAUUGUUUUUACACAUUAUUGAUUAAAUCACAUGUAAAAAAACUAAGAUAGAUCUUUUUAGCAUUCAUUAUUCUCAGUAUCUUCGUGAAUGGUUUAAUGGUUCAUAAUGGGAUAAACACGUUUAAAGAAUUUCAAAGUUGGAAAUUUUCUCUUCUUAUAUGGUGCGUCAAUACAGAAGAAUCAAAGCAGGACGUUUUAUCAGAAUAUAUCUUUUAACAUUUGAAGAAAAAUAAGCUCAUUUUGUAAAAAUCGAUCAAUUUCAGCUCGUGCGUUCGUGCUAUAGCGACAGCUAGUCAAAAAGUUUUAGCACUUAGAAUAAAAAAAACAAAAACGUAACGUUGACGACUUCAAUCUGGAAGUGCAUGUGACUACAUUGAAGCUUUAAUUCCGUUUUAGGGAAUGCCACCACUAAGUUGCCAAAAAAGGGAAAAAUAAGAUUUCGACUUCAAUUACUGCAGUUUUCUGCGUGUUGAAUGCUUGGGAAUUGAAAAGUUUUCAAAUAUAUUUUCAAUGAUUCCGCAUGGAGCGUAUUAAAUGCGCAUUAUUUGACUAGAUAACUAUUCGAGCUCUCCAGUAUGUUUAUUGCCUAUGCGCCAUGAUUGAAGGCGAAUCUCAAGUGGGCAAUGUCUGCCAAUGGUUUACUCAUUGUCUAUUAUCCCUAUCAAAUUUUAUGAAGCGGAGUAAUGUACAUGCGUUUUGAUUGAUAACUAUUAAAGCCUCCUAGUGGGUGAAUUGCCUAUGGCGGGAAAAUAAAUGCGAAUCUCAAUCGGAUGAUAUCUAUCGAUAGGUUUGCGCAAUGUCUAUUGUUUUUACCUAAGUUCAUGGAAGCGAGCAAGAAUGCGUUUUUUUCGGAUGGAUAAACUAUUCGUGCUCUUGCUCUUCCCAAUAUGUUUGUUGCCUAACCGAUCGAAAUGAAGGCGGACAUCGACCUGUGCCAUUCUCAGACCAUGGUCUUGGGUAAGCAUAAACAAUAAUAUGGACGUAUUUCUACCAAACAGACCUAUGUGGAGGUGAGAAAUAUGGGGUAUGCUCGUUAGUUCUCUUUGCGUAAUAGUGAAUGAGAAUAAUAAAGCGCCAGCGACGUCAGCGGCAAUGAUCAAGACCCACCGCGAAAAGGAGAUCCUCGUCGGGGCGCUUUAACUCAUGAGCCCUGUCCACAACGCUCUUGUCCCAUGCCCGCGGCUCAUAUAUCCCGCAUUCAGUUGGCACAUAGGUCUGUUUGGUAGAAUGUAAAAUCCCGCUUUUCCAAUUCUUCAAAAGGAAUCACGCCCACUUUUACAUUGCUUCUUAUGCAGAUUUCUAGCGCACACCCCAUAUUUCUCACUUCCUCAUAGGUCUGUUUGGUAGAAAUACGUCCAUAUAUACCUCACGUCAAAAUAAUCGCACCCAUGAAGAUUGACAUACGCGCUUCAUAUUCUGGGAUUUUCAUACGUGGGCCUCUAUCAAUUUAAUCCUGGGAUUUUCGGAGAGGCCACGAAGCAACAGAUGACUGUAGUAAACCUUUGGUAGUACUACUCAUGCCGCACAGUGGAUGAUCGAGUCAAUUGAGAGGUCGGACAUGAAAUUUUGGACUAGAACUGCAAAUUUGGACGUUUAUUUCGUCUUAUUUUAAAUUUUAAGGGGUGCCUCUAGAAGUAAAUUGCAAGAUGAAACCAAUGGAACCACUUUAAAAACCUCAAAAUGUUGCAUAAUCGGAGUUAUGAGAUUAAAAAGUUUCCAAAUUUUGUUCGACCUCACCUAUUGACUCGAUCCACUGUGUGCUGUCGCUCUUCUGACGUAAGGGCGUACCUCGAUUUCCAUAUGAGCCCCGGAAAGCAUAGAGUUAUACGGCGAACAGAGCUCAUGUAGAAAUAGAGAUAAGCCUUUACGUCAGAAGGACGAUGAUGUUACGGAAGAGAGCGGUUACUACAAAAGUUUUGUUUUGAAAAAUAGUCCAGGCUUUUUGAAAGAAAUUCUGGUAUUUAUAAACAUGGCAAUAAUCAUCCAAAAAGGUCUUAAAAUUGUUUCAAAUAGUUGAACAUCGACUAAGUUCAUCUCUGAUGGUUGAAGAAUAAGGGUCAUACUUUUUUCAUGUUAGGAAUACAAUAGUAUUGGCUAUUUUCAACAUGCUUGCCUAGUUAUAUUUGGACCAACAUCAAGCUAAUUGGACCGCGUUUAACAGAAAGGAACCAAGCCACGUCAGCCAUUGCCAAAUGUAACUGGGCAAUUUGAUGUUUUACGCGAGAAUGUUUGUGCAGAUUCCUUUGAAAGUUUUAAGGAAUUUGCCUCUUACCAUGGAGAAAAUUCACUGAAAUUUUCACGAAAAUUCACACAACCGUUUUCGUGUAAAAAAUGAAAUUGCCCAAUUAAAUUUGGCAAUAGCUGAUGUGGCUUGGUUCCUUCCUGUUUAACGCGGUCCAAUUAUGGUUAGAAAGUGGCAGAGAAGGGUACCAUUUUCUUAAGGACAGCA
Molecule: long non-coding RNA, 5980 nt
Filed under: Bemisia tabaci
Lineage: Eukaryota; Metazoa; Arthropoda; Insecta; Hemiptera; Aleyrodidae
Description: lncRNA ENSASIAIIG005747
Source: RNAcentral